GAAUAGAAAUGUAUUUCUUGUAUAAUAGCUUUAAUAUGGUAAGCAAGUCUCUACCCUAAAACCGACUAAAUUUUAGGACUACAAGAAUAAAAGUUUAU
RNAcentral lists this non-coding RNA (98 nucleotides) under human gut metagenome. RNAcentral's name for it is "Purine riboswitch". It matches the Rfam family "Purine riboswitch aptamer". From Rfam's summary of the family: Riboswitches are metabolite binding domains within certain messenger RNAs that serve as precision sensors for their corresponding targets. Allosteric rearrangement of mRNA structure is mediated by ligand binding, and this results in modulation of gene expression. The record is from RNAcentral. RNAcentral also lists the same sequence under 1 other name.